Molecule: ribosomal RNA, 492 nt
Filed under: uncultured bacterium
Lineage: Bacteria
Description: partial 16S ribosomal RNA
Rfam family: Bacterial small subunit ribosomal RNA
Source: RNAcentral
AUUGAACGCUGGCGGCAUGCUUUACACAUGCAAGUCGAACGGUAACAGGCUUUCGGGUGCUGCCGAGUGGCGAACGGGUGCGUAAUGCAUCGGAACGUACCCAGAGGUGGGGGAUAACGCAGCGAAAGCUGUGCUAAUACCGCAUGCGAUCUGAGGAUGAAAGCGGGGGACCGAGCAGCAAUGUUUGGCCUCGCGCCUUUGGAGCGGCCGAUGUCGGAUUAGCUAGUUGGUGGGGUAAAGGCCUACCAAGGCGACGAUCCGUAGCUGGUCUGAGAGGACGACCAGCCACACUGGAACUGAGACACGGCCCAGACUCCUACGGGAGGCAGCAGUGGGGAAUUUUGGACAAUGGGCGCAAGCCUGAUCCAGCAAUGCCGCGUGCGGGAAGAAGGCCUUCGGGUUGUAAACCGCUUUUGGCAGGAACGAAACGGUGUCCGCUAAUACCGGGCGCUAAUGACGGUACCUGCAGAAUAAGCACCGGCUAACUACGUG